This 593-nucleotide long non-coding RNA is filed under the name Elaeis guineensis (African oil palm). RNAcentral describes it as "long non-coding RNA (EGUI_LNC035262)". Lineage: Eukaryota; Viridiplantae; Streptophyta; Magnoliopsida; Arecales; Arecaceae. The record is from RNAcentral.
UUGCGGAUUUUCUCUGGUGGACAGUCAGUAGUUGGUCUAGAGCUGAUCAAGAGCCGCAUUUGUUAUUAGGCGACAGAAGCGUUCGAAGAUAAUGCACUGUCGUCAGAAAAAAGACACACAGUCAAGGCCGUGAUUCAGAAUGAUAAGGCCGAUGAGAGAGAGAUGGUGCUGGACUCCGUAGGACACUGGAGAAGAAGAACCUGUAAAACAAAUUCCAUCGGAGGUAGCUCCGAUAAGGAUCUUUCGACGUUCAAGUCAGUUAGAUGGCCGGAGAAAGAAGAAUGACAGAGUAUCUAGAUCGCAAAAUAGUGCAUGUAUGCAUACCUGGAGGGAUCUCCGCUUACCUCUAUUUAUAGAUGGAGCAAAAUGAAUAGUGAGAGGAUAAGUGAUUAUAUCGAUCAUAUCUUAUUGUACGGUGUCGCAUGGUGCCGCAUGGGCAUCUUUAAAUUCUGACGGCGAGCGUGCCUUCUAUUUGAUGCGCUCAUGACGGUGGACGCUACCGAGUGUGGGAUAUAAUAAAUGAUCCUGUGGGCAUAUUUAAUAAAAUCAUAGUAUCCCAUCACGGUGCGUAGCUAGCCGACCAGAGUAUGGCG